Molecule: transfer RNA, 67 nt
Filed under: Trinomys dimidiatus
Lineage: Eukaryota; Metazoa; Chordata; Mammalia; Rodentia; Echimyidae
Description: tRNA-Pro
Source: RNAcentral
CAAGAAAUAGUUUAACUAGAAUAUCAGUUUUGGGUACUGAUGGUGUAGCUUGUUGCUUCUUUCUUGA